AGGAAGUAAAAGUCGUAACAAGGUUUCCGUAGGUGAACCUGCGGAAGGAUCAUUAUUGAAUMAACAUGGCAAAGUUGUYGCUGGUCUCAGCAAUGGGACAUGUGCACRCUUUGUUCAUCCACCUUCACACCCCUGUGCACUUCUCAUGAGUUGGGUUGCGCUUGAAAUAUAGCAAGACUCCUCUCAUGUGUUUUAAUCACAUACUACAAGUUUUAGAAUGUUACAAUCAUGCGUCAAUGCAUAUAAUACAACUUUCAGCAACGGAUCUCUUGGCUCUCGCAUCGAUGAAGAACGCAGCGAAAUGCGAUAAGUAAUGUGAAUUGCAGAAUUCAGUGAAUCAUCGAAUCUUUGAACGCACCUUGCGCUCCUUGGUAUUCCGAGGAGCAUGCCUGUUUGAGUGUCAUGGUAUUCUCAACCCUCUUGCAUUUUUUUUUAAAGAUGCAGUUGGGAUUGGACUUGGAGGUUUUUGCUGGUGGUCAGACAUUUUUAAUGUAUGAACAUGGGCUCCUCUGAAAAGCAUUAGCUGGAAUAUUACCGAGCAUGAUUCAAUGUGAUAAUUGUCUACGUUGCUUCAACUUGGUAUUAAACGUGUUCUAGCUUCUAACUGUCCUUUAUGGACAAUAUAUCUGAACAUCUGACCUCAAAUCAGGUAGGACUACCCGCUGAACUUAAGCAUAUCAAUAAGCGGAGGAAAAGAAACUAACAAGGAUUCCCCUAGUAACUGCGAGUGAAGCGGGAAAAGCUCAAAUUUAAAAUCUGGCAGCUUUGGCUGUCCGAGUUGUAGUCUGGAGA
RNAcentral lists this ribosomal RNA (792 nucleotides) under Metuloidea rhinocephala. RNAcentral's name for it is "eukaryotic LSU rRNA". Lineage: Eukaryota; Fungi; Basidiomycota; Agaricomycetes; Polyporales; Steccherinaceae. The record is from RNAcentral.